GAAAGGAUCUGACCAGACUCUGGCUUUGGAGUCCUCACCAGACCCGCCACUGAACAGAAAAAUCCAGGGGGAAACCCCUGCCGGGGAUUAGCCCGAACUUUGUGUUUCCUUUCCGGAGCUGGAAAUAUUUGAGUUUGGAAAGUCCCCCAGCAGAACCGUAUUUGCAACACUACAGUCCGGCCUCAGGUAUGACUUUAAACCGGGAGACGGGGCAGCAGCAGCCCCGUGGCAGUGAUGACAGGGAGAAAGGGCAGACGGACGAGGGUGCAGACUGGUCCAGGCCCUCCGAAGCCCGCUAGCGAGGGCCACCUCCAGCACACACAUGAGCAUCUACACACGCCCAAACCACCACGUCGCAGGCCCACGGCAGAGCUUCGCGCUCACCCUUGAAGGUGGCACUACAGAGCCACCUGGAAGACACGGGCAUUUCAUUGAAGACUAAACGAGAGUGAAUCCAGGAGCCUGCGUUACGGCAGCUGCCAAAGCCUCCAGUGUGCAAGGGGCGGAGGUGAAAACCUAAAGCCCAAAGGAAUGAAAAGAAUUGACAGAUAAGGCUCUAAGGAACAGAGGAAUUACCUGAUUCAUCCAGGUUUCAACUAUUUAGAGAAAGAGCCAAGACUGGAACCCAGAGCUGGUGACUCCAAGUGCAAUUAUUUUCCCCACUAUGUCUAAAGUAUCACCUGCUAUUAUCGUUAAACACGGCCACUCCGUGCGUCAGGAAAACAGACAGCAGGAAUGUGAUGACGCCCAGGCAAAGAGCCUAUGCUGAUGGCCAUCAUCAAUGACAACUGAAAGAUCAGGGGAGAGGGCCACUGCUCCAUUCUCUGAUGCAUAUCCAGUAA
Equus quagga is the source of this 842-nucleotide long non-coding RNA. RefSeq lists it as uncharacterized. The transcript is spliced from 3 exons. Lineage: Eukaryota; Metazoa; Chordata; Mammalia; Perissodactyla; Equidae. The record is from RefSeq and is a predicted model, not a curated record.